AUGCUACAAGAAUUCCACCGUCGCCGUCCGGAUCGGCCGGCGCCUCGCCCUCCGACUUUUGGUGGAGGCACCAAACUCAUCGUUGACUUGGGUGUGGUACGUCCCUCCCUGACCGUCCUACUCCCCUCCAGUGAAGAGCAGGACCAGGGGAAUGUGGUCCUAGCGUGCCUGGCCAACAAGGGCUUCCCAGAGGGCUGGAAGCUGGGUUGGAGGCUGGGGGUCGGGGGGGCCUUGCAGGGCAGCCAGAGCCUGGAGGUCCUGGAGAAGGACGGUCACUACAGCUGGAGCAGCAGCCUCACCCUCCCCACUGACCAGUGUUGGAAGGCUGGCUCAGUUACCUGUGAGGCCACCCUAAAGGACCAGACCCCCAUCACUCACACACUGGAGCCACACCACUGUUCCCAGUAGACACCCUGUACACAGAGAACACCUACCUAUCUGCCAUUCUAUCAUUCUAAAUAUCUAUCUAGAGCUUCAGCUCUGGUCAUCAAUCUGGGACUCUGUGUCUUUAAAUCUGUACCUGUGUUUUAUUGCUUUUGCUUUUAGAUUGGAAAUGUUAACAAAAUAAAAUGCUUUGUUUUAAUGUCGAA
Salmo salar (Atlantic salmon) is the source of this 590-nucleotide non-coding RNA. Lineage: Eukaryota; Metazoa; Chordata; Actinopteri; Salmoniformes; Salmonidae. The record is from the annotation of a RefSeq genome assembly.